Molecule: ribosomal RNA, 460 nt
Filed under: uncultured bacterium
Lineage: Bacteria
Description: partial 16S ribosomal RNA
Rfam family: Bacterial small subunit ribosomal RNA
Source: RNAcentral
GACGAACGCUGGCGGCGUGCUUAACACAUGCAAGUCGAACGGUGAAGCCCUUCGGGGUGGAUCAGUGGCGAACGGGUGAGUAACACGUGAGCAACCUGCCCCUGGCUCUGGGACAACCACUGGAAACGGUGGCUAAUACCGGAUACGACCCGCCUCGGCAUCGAGUGUGGGUGGAAAGUUUUUCGGCUGGGGAUGGGCUCGCGGCCUAUCAGCUUGUUGGUGAGGUGAAGGCUCACCAAGGCGACGACGGGUAGCCGGCCUGAGGGCGACCGGCCACACUGGGACUGAGACACGGCCCAGACUCCUACGGGAGGCAGCAGUGGGGAAUAUUGCACAAUGGGCGAAAGCCUGAUGCAGCGACGCCGCGUGAGGGAUGACGGCCUUCGGGUUGUAAACCUCUUUCAGCUCCGAAGAAGCGAAAGUGACGGUAGGAGCAGAAGAAGCACCGGCUAACUACGUG